GUAGCACAGAGAGCUUGCUCUUGGGUGACGAGUGGCGGACGGGUGAGUAAUGUCUGGGGAUCUGCCCGAUAGAGGGGGAUAACCACUGGAAACGGUGGCUAAUACCGCAUAACGUCGCAAGACCAAAGAGGGGGACCUUCGGGCCUCUCACUAUCGGAUGAACCCAGAUGGGAUUAGCUAGUAGGCGGGGUAAUGGCCCACCUAGGCGACGAUCCCUAGCUGGUCUGAGAGGAUGACCAGCCACACUGGAACUGAGACACGGUCCAGACUCCUACGGGAGGCAGCAGUGGGGAAUAUUGCACAAUGGGCGCAAGCCUGAUGCAGCCAUGCCGCGUGUAUGAAGAAGGCCUUCGGGUUGUAAAGUACUUUCAGCGGGGAGGAAGGCGAUGCGGUUAAUAACCGCGUCGAUUGACGUUACCCGCAGAAGAAGCACCGGCUAACUCCGUGCCAGCAGCCGCGGUAAUACGGAGGGUGCAAGCGUUAAUCGGAAUUACUGGGCGUAUAGCGCACGCACGCGGUCUGUUAAGUCAGAUGUGAAAUCCCCGGGCUUAACCUGUGAACUGCAUUUGAGACUGGCAGGCUUGAGUCUUGUAGAGGGGGGGUA
RNAcentral lists this ribosomal RNA (604 nucleotides) under bacterium 30-L049640-122-012-F04. RNAcentral describes it as "bacterial SSU rRNA". It matches the Rfam family "Bacterial small subunit ribosomal RNA", at positions 69 to 664 of the family's 1533-position model. The record is from RNAcentral.